RNAcentral lists this unclassified non-coding RNA (253 nucleotides) under uncultured Moraxellaceae bacterium. RNAcentral's name for it is "contains 16S-23S intergenic spacer region". It matches the Rfam family "Bacterial small subunit ribosomal RNA", at positions 524 to 776 of the family's 1533-position model. The record is from RNAcentral. Lineage: Bacteria; Pseudomonadati; Pseudomonadota; Gammaproteobacteria; Moraxellales; Moraxellaceae.
UACGGAGGGUGCGAGCGUUAAUCGGAUUUACUGGGCGUAAAGCGUGCGUAGGCGGCUUUUUAAGUGGGAGGUGAAAUCCCCGGGCUUAACCUGGGAAUUGCAUUCGAUACUGGGAAGCUAGAGUAUGGGAGAGGAUGGUAGAAUUCCAGGUGUAGCCGUGAAAUGCGUAGAGAUCUGGAGGAAUACCGAUGGCGAAGGCUGCCAUCUGGCCUAAUACUGACGCUGAGGUCCGAAAGCAUGGGGAGCAAACAGG